AGUGAACGCUGGCGGUAGGCCUAACACAUGCAAGUCGAACGGCAGCACAGUAAGAGCUUGCUCUUACGGGUGGCGAGUGGCGGACGGGUGAGGAAUACAUCGGAAUCUACUUUUUCGUGGGGGAUAACGUAGGGAAACUUACGCUAAUACCGCAUACGACCUACGGGUGAAAGCAGGGGAUCUUCGGACCUUGCGCGAUUGAAUGAGCCGAUGUCGGAUUAGCUAGUUGGCGGGGUAAAGGCCCACCAAGGCGACGAUCCGUAGCUGGUCUGAGAGGAUGAUCAGCCACACUGGAACUGAGACACGGUCCAGACUCCUAGGGGAGGCAGCAGUGGGGAAUAUUGGACAAGGGGCGCAAGCCUGAUCCAGCCAUACCGCGUGGGUGAAGAAGGCCUUCGGGUUGUAAAGCCCUUUUGUUGGGAAAGAAAAGCAGCAGGUUAAUACCCCGCUGUUCUGACGGUACCCAAAGAAUAAGCACCGGCUAACUUCGUG
This 492-nucleotide ribosomal RNA is filed under the name uncultured bacterium. RNAcentral describes it as "partial 16S ribosomal RNA". It matches the Rfam family "Bacterial small subunit ribosomal RNA", at positions 29 to 507 of the family's 1533-position model. The record is from RNAcentral.